RNAcentral lists this ribosomal RNA (1298 nucleotides) under metagenome. RNAcentral's name for it is "bacterial LSU rRNA". It matches the Rfam family "Bacterial large subunit ribosomal RNA", at positions 1638 to 2925 of the family's 2925-position model. The record is from RNAcentral.
ACGACCGUACCGCAAACCGACACUGGUGCGCGAGAUGAGUAUUCUAAGGCGCUUGAGAGAACUCAGGAGAAGGAACUCGGCAAAUUGACACCGUAACUUCGGAAGAAGGUGUGCCUUUAGUAGGUGAAGUCCCUCGCGGAUGGAGCCCAAUGAGGUUGCAAAAAAUCGGUGGCUGCGACUGUUUAUUAAAAACACAGCACUCUGCAAACACGAAAGUGGACGUAUAGGGUGUGACGCCUGCCCGGUGCUGGAAGAUUAAAUGAUGGGGUGCAAGCUCUUGAUUGAAGUCCCAGUAAACGGCGGCCGUAACGAUAACGGUCCUAAGGUAGCGAAAUUCCUUGUCGGGUAAGUUCCGACCUGCACGAAUGGCGUAACGAUGGCCACACUGUCUCCUCCUGAGACUCAGCGAAGUUGAAAUGUUUGUGAUGAUGCAAUCUCCCCGCGGAAAGACGGAAAGACCCCAUGAACCUUUACUGUAGCUUUGUAUUGGACUUUGAACAGAUCUGUGUAGGAUAGGUGGGAGGCUUUGAAGCAGGGUCGCUAGAUCUUGUGGAGCCAACGUUGAAAUACCACCCUGGUGUGUUUGAGGUUCUAACCUAGGCCCGUAAUCCGGGUUGGGGACAGUGCAUGGUAGGCAGUUUGACUGGGGCGGUCUCCUCCCAAAGUGUAACGGAGGAGUUCGAAGGUACGCUAGUUACGGUCGGACAUCGUGACGAUAGUGCAAUGGCAUAAGCGUGCUUAACUGCGAGACUGACAAGUCGAGCAGAUGCGAAAGCAGGACAUAGUGAUCCGGUGGUUCUGUAUGGAAGGGCCAUCGCUCAACGGAUAAAAGGUACUCUGGGGAUAACAGGCUGAUACCGCCCAAGAGUUCGUAUCGACGGCGGUGUUUGGCACCUCGAUGUCGGCUCAUCUCAUCCUGGGGCUGUAGCCGGUCCCAAGGGUAUGGCUGUUCGCCAUUUAAAGAGGUACGUGAGCCGGGUUUAAAACGUCGUGAGACAGUUUGGUCCCUAUCUUCCGUGGGCGCUGCAGAUUUGAGGAAGCCUGCUCCUAGUACGAGAGGACCGGAGUGGACGCACCUCUGGUGUAUCGGUUGUCACGCCAGUGGCAUUGCCGAGUAGCUAUGUGCGGAAGAGAUAACCGCUGAAAGCAUCUAAGCGGGAAACUCGUUUCAAGAUGAGAUCUGCCGGGGCCUUGAGCCCCCUGAAGAGUCGUUCAAGACCAGGACGUUGAUAGGUCGGGUGUGGAAGCGCAGUAAUGCGUUAAGCUAACCGAUACUAAUUGCUCGUGCGGCUUGAUCG